GGGGAAGUUAUUUCUUCUUCAUGUUUGAAGGGAGAGGCACUUCACCUUCUGGUAACCAACACCACAGGCUUAUGGGGAUUACUGCAAGUUUUCUCAAGAGGGAUUUGCAGAGACAGGAUGCUAUGAAAUUACCUCUCCCAUGCCCUCCACAGUACUAAGACUGAGGUACCUGUCUACAUCAAAAGAUGAGUACUACAAUGCAGAUGACUUAGCCAGUUGGCUGACUAGGGAUGUUGGAUGCCAGGUCUCCUCAGAAAGAUCAAAGUUACAGGUGAAUGCCCAUGAUUUAAAUGGAAAUCUGAGGGAAUGAAGCAAGGACCUGUUGGAGCACCCAUGGGAAGAACCUGGGGCACAAAAGAGGAAAGCAGCAAGAGACUGACAGAGAUUGUCUCCCUAGAAACCUGGACCACGAAAAGGGUGGAGAGGAGAAAACUCUGUGCUAAAUAUUACUCCUGGAAAAGUGCAUUUGCUUCGGAGAAAUCUUUAUCAUGGGUCUCUAAGAGGAAGGAACAAUAGCAUCUUCUAUGUGCCGAGGUAGCGCAAUAAUGAACUCUGUUCAAGUGGAUCAAAAGCCAUCAAGGUCAAAAUUAGGCACAGGCUGUACAGGAAGCGUGAUUCUGGCAUCUGUUUGGUUUCUGGGAAGGCCUCAGGAAACUUAAAGUCAUGGAAGAAGGGGAAGGGAGAGCAGGCACGUCUUACAUGACCAAAGCAGGAAGAAGAGAGAGAAGUGUGGAGGUGCUAUACACUUUUAAACAGCCAGAUCUUGUGAGAACUCUGUCAGAAGAACAGCACUAGGGAAAUGGUGCUAAACCAUUCUUGGGGACUCCAUCCCUGUGAUACAAUCACCUCCCACCAGGCCCCACCUCCAACACUGAGAAUUACAACUCAACAUGAGAUUUGGAUGGGGACACAGAUCCAAACCAUAUCAAAUUUUCACACCUUUCAGUAAAGCUUUAUAUUUUUUAAGGAUAUUUAAGUACUUGGAAGUAGAAGUAGAGAGUAAGGGGAAUAUUGUACAGCCAUCACAGCCUUUGUCUACUAAAGAAGUCAGUUUCAUGUGACAAAUGUUCAUUUUAAUAUUCGCUUCUUCAGUCCAUCUGGGGGUGUUUCCUUAUUUCUAUAAGAUGCUGCUUUUCAAAAAAAUUACCGAAAGCAUUCUGGAAAUCCAAGAGUAAUUGUGUGAACUAUAAGCAUUAGAAAACACAGACAUAAGUUGAAAAUAUUUAUGAACCUAAAUAGAUGUAAAGCUAGUGACUCAUAUUUUAUAAUGUAUUCACAGAUGAUAUUUCUUAAAUAAAGUAGGCAUUUCUUUAAAAUAAAAACUCUAAUAAUAUAUGUUAUUAAGAAGAAAACUAGAAAAGGAAGAAAAAAAGUGAUGGUAUGUUUGGAAGAUGCUGAGGUGAGCUGGUGAUAAAAUUAUCUCCACUGAAAAAGGAAUACAAAGAGCAGACACUGAAUAAGCCAGACAAUGUUUGAGUUUUUUCUGAAACCACUGUGCAGUUUUGGACUUUGACCUGAUUUAAUUUUCACCUCUGUUCUUCCUCCCACUCCUUCUCUUCCUUCAUCUCAUCCUCCUCUGCCUUUUACCUCUUUUAAAAAUUGCAUUUUGCAAACAAAUACAUGUUUGCCAUCAAUGAAACUAUUUCAAGAGUUCUAUAGAGAUCAAAAUGAAGGGCUUCCUGCGUUGAUGGUUAAUUCUACCAUCUUCCCCAGGUGCAACAGCUGUUAGCAGUAUAGCCUUCAGUUACCAGUUUCAGGCAUUUACCUAUGCGUCUGAACAAAUGCAUUAAAAAAUAAUGAACACACAUGCAAACUGGUUUGUUUCCAUUUUACUUAGCUCUGUAAGGUGCCAUGUUUUACAUAUUCUGCAAAUUCUCCCCAUGUACAAUACACAUAAACCCAGUAUUAUUUUUAACAUCUCCAAUAUUUUGGUACACUUCAAUUUAUUUACCACUUGUUCCCAAUUCUUGGUGAUAUCAAUGUGUCAAGCUCUUUCAAAAGAACUUUGGUUUAUCAUCCGCCUUUCACCCUGACCAUUUAUAUGUUCAUUUUGCUUUGACAAGCAGGACUUGACUUCUUUCAGCUUCCUGACUCACUUGGAAUUGUAUCAACAGGUGACUGUUAUG
RNAcentral lists this long non-coding RNA (2126 nucleotides) under Homo sapiens (human). RNAcentral's name for it is "HSALNT0204382". Lineage: Eukaryota; Metazoa; Chordata; Mammalia; Primates; Hominidae. The record is from RNAcentral.